GUCAGGAAGAUGCCCAAUUCCUGGCACAAUUUGACAGUGGGCACUGGUCUUCUCUGCUGUGUGGCCAUUUGUCUCAUAGGUGUAGGCCACAUGGAUACUGGAGUUAUCCAGCACCCAAAUUUCUUAGUCAAGGGAAGUGGAGAAACUGUAGUGCUGAGCUGCAACCUCAUCGAAGGACAUACAUAUAUUUACUGGUAUCAACAGGUCCUGAAUAAAGAAUUAAAAUUUCUAAUUUCCAGAAGAAAUGAACAAAUUUUGGAUGAUUCAGGGAUGCCCAAGCAUAGAUUCUCAACUGAAUGGUCCCAAAAGCUACCUGGCAUCCUGAAGAUCCAACUCUCAGAACCUGGGGACUCUGCCGUGUAUUUCUGUGCUAGUAGCUUAGACACAGAGCUACAGAUUCAGUUCUUCUCUGCUCAGAAAGGUUAACAAGGACUGGGAGGUUCUCAGAAUUAAGCUACUCAUUGAGGAAGAUG
This is a non-coding RNA of Sarcophilus harrisii (Tasmanian devil), 473 nucleotides long. The record is from the annotation of a RefSeq genome assembly. Lineage: Eukaryota; Metazoa; Chordata; Mammalia; Dasyuromorphia; Dasyuridae.